AGUGAACGCUGGCGGUAGGCCUAACACAUGCAAGUCGAACGGCAGCACAGUAAGAGCUUGCUCUUACGGGUGGCGAGUGGCGGACGGGUGAGGAAUACAUCGGAAUCUACUUUUUCGUGGGGGAUAACGUAGGGAAACUUACGCUAAUACCGCAUACGACCUACGGGUGAAAGCAGGGGAUCUUCGGACCUUGCGCGAUUGAAUGAGCCGAUGUCGGAUUAGCUAGUUGGCGGGGUAAAGGCCCACCAAGGCGACGAUCCGUAGCUGGUCUGAGAGGAUGAUCAGCCACACUGGAACUGAGACACGGUCCAGACUCCUACGGGAGACAGCAGUGGGGAAUAUUGGACAAUGGGCGCAAGCCUGAUCCAGCCAUACCGCGUGGGUGAAGAAGGCCUUCGGGUUGUAAAGCCCUUUUGUUAGGAAAGAAAAGCAGCAGGUUAAUACCCCGCUGUUCUGACGGUACCCAAAGAAUAAGCACCGGCUAACUUCGUG
RNAcentral lists this ribosomal RNA (492 nucleotides) under uncultured bacterium. RNAcentral's name for it is "partial 16S ribosomal RNA". It matches the Rfam family "Bacterial small subunit ribosomal RNA", at positions 29 to 507 of the family's 1533-position model. The record is from RNAcentral.